GGCCCCUGAAGACCCCUUCGAGACCAGGAGGUUGAUAGGCCGGGUGUGGAAGCGCAGCAAUGCGUGGAGCUAACCGGUACUAAUCGGUCGUGAGGCUUGGUCUUCGUUAUUGUU
This 114-nucleotide ribosomal RNA is filed under the name Candidatus Dadabacteria bacterium. Its description in RNAcentral is "partial 23S ribosomal RNA". It matches the Rfam family "Bacterial large subunit ribosomal RNA", at positions 2822 to 2925 of the family's 2925-position model. The record is from RNAcentral. Lineage: Bacteria; Pseudomonadati; Thermodesulfobacteriota; Candidatus Dadabacteria.